AGAGUUUGAUCCUGGCUCAGAACGAACGCUGGCGGCAGGCUUAACACAUGCAAGUCGAGCGCCCCGCAAGGGGAGCGGCAGACGGGUGAGUAACGCGUGGGAACGUACCCUUUACUACGGAAUAACGCAGGGAAACUUGUGCUAAUACCGUAUGUGCCCUUCGGGGGAAAGAUUUAUCGGUAAGGGAUCGGCCCGCGUUGGAUUAGCUAGUUGGUGGGGUAAAGGCCUACCAAGGCGACGAUCCAUAGCUGGUCUGAGAGGAUGAUCAGCCACAUUGGGACUGAGACACGGCCCAAACUCCUACGGGAGGCAGCAGUGGGGAAUAUUGGACAAUGGGCGCAAGCCUGAUCCAGCCAUGCCGCGUGAGUGAUGAAGGCCCUAGGGUUGUAAAGCUCUUUCACCGGAGAAGAUAAUGACGGUAUCCGGAGAAGAAGCCCCG
This 439-nucleotide ribosomal RNA is filed under the name uncultured bacterium. Its description in RNAcentral is "bacterial SSU rRNA". It matches the Rfam family "Bacterial small subunit ribosomal RNA", at positions 8 to 495 of the family's 1533-position model. The record is from RNAcentral.